GGCUUUCAGUCUUGAAUCUUGUUAUCAAAGCCAGGGCACCAGUCUCUAAACUGGAGGAAAAGUUUAUCAGUUUCUCCUCUGGAGCGGGCACUUACAACAUCCAAUCUUCCUAGCUGGGGAAGCCCAGUGAAGGCAGCCGGUUGGAAUCCCAAUUGAGAGGCCUGGGCAGAGCAUUCUCCCCUCAGGAAGUUCCUGGGAGAAAGUAAAGGGCUCCUGUUGCUGAGGUCCUGGAUUGCACCCAAGUUUUUUCCAACUCUUCUUCCAAUUAGGAUCCCAUUCAAGAUACCACACUUCAUUUGGUUGCCAUUUCACCUUAGUCUCUUUGAGGCAGACAGUUUAUCAGUCUUUCUGGGUCUUUCACAGCCCUGACAUUUUGAAGAUACUGGUAAAGUAUUUUAUAGAAUAUCUGUCAAUUUGGAUUGGUCUGGUGUUUUCUUAUGAUUAGAUUGAAGUUACACAUUUUUGG
This is a long non-coding RNA of Lontra canadensis (Northern American river otter), 466 nucleotides long. RefSeq lists it as uncharacterized. NCBI's taxonomy places the organism in Eukaryota, Metazoa, Chordata, Mammalia, Carnivora, Mustelidae. The transcript has 3 exons. The record is from RefSeq and is a predicted model, not a curated record.